This 253-nucleotide ribosomal RNA is filed under the name uncultured bacterium. Its description in RNAcentral is "partial 16S ribosomal RNA". It matches the Rfam family "Bacterial small subunit ribosomal RNA", at positions 524 to 776 of the family's 1533-position model. The record is from RNAcentral.
UACGUAGGUGUCGAGCGUUGUCCGGAUUUAUUGGGCGUAAAGCGCCCGCAGGCGGCUUGGCAAGUUCGAGGUGAAAUCUCCCGGCUCAACUGGGAGGGUGCGCCGAAUACUGAAUGACUAGAGUGCGGGAGAGGAAAGUGGAAUUCCUGGUGUAGCGGUGAAAUGCGCAGAUAUCAGGAGGAACACCGAUGGCGAAGGCGGUUCUCUGGGCAUUACCUGACGCUGAGGAGCGAAAGCAUGGGGAGCGAACAGG